RNAcentral lists this ribosomal RNA (872 nucleotides) under Escherichia coli. RNAcentral's name for it is "partial 23S ribosomal RNA". It matches the Rfam family "Bacterial large subunit ribosomal RNA", at positions 406 to 1277 of the family's 2925-position model. The record is from RNAcentral. Lineage: Bacteria; Pseudomonadati; Pseudomonadota; Gammaproteobacteria; Enterobacterales; Enterobacteriaceae.
CGAUGAGUAGGGCGGGACACGUGGUAUCCUGUCUGAAUAUGGGGGGACCAUCCUCCAAGGCUAAAUACUCCUGACUGACCGAUAGUGAACCAGUACCGUGAGGGAAAGGCGAAAAGAACCCCGGCGAGGGGAGUGAAAAAGAACCUGAAACCGUGUACGUACAAGCAGUGGGAGCACGCUUAGGCGUGUGACUGCGUACCUUUUGUAUAAUGGGUCAGCGACUUAUAUUCUGUAGCAAGGUUAACCGAAUAGGGGAGCCGAAGGGAAACCGAGUCUUAACUGGGCGUUAAGUUGCAGGGUAUAGACCCGAAACCCGGUGAUCUAGCCAUGGGCAGGUUGAAGGUUGGGUAACACUAACUGGAGGACCGAACCGACUAAUGUUGAAAAAUUAGCGGAUGACUUGUGGCUGGGGGUGAAAGGCCAAUCAAACCGGGAGAUAGCUGGUUCUCCCCGAAAGCUAUUUAGGUAGCGCCUCGUGAAUUCAUCUCCGGGGGUAGAGCACUGUUUCGGCAAGGGGGUCAUCCCGACUUACCAACCCGAUGCAAACUGCGAAUACCGGAGAAUGUUAUCACGGGAGACACACGGCGGGUGCUAACGUCCGUCGUGAAGAGGGAAACAACCCAGACCGCCAGCUAAGGUCCCAAAGUCAUGGUUAAGUGGGAAACGAUGUGGGAAGGCCCAGACAGCCAGGAUGUUGGCUUAGAAGCAGCCAUCAUUUAAAGAAAGCGUAAUAGCUCACUGGUCGAGUCGGCCUGCGCGGAAGAUGUAACGGGGCUAAACCAUGCACCGAAGCUGCGGCAGCGACGCUGAUGCGUUGUUGGGUAGGGGAGCGUUCUGUAAGCCUGUGAAGGUGUGCUGUGAGGCAUGCUGGA